GCUGGACCAGCUUAUGCCUGAUCUUCUUUAAUCUGACUUGCUAAAGUCAGUGAGAGGAUUUAUGAUUAACUAGUCAAGUCUUUUUUCAUCUCUCAAUUCAACUAAUUAAAUCUUCUAAAAUUGUUAGGUCCCUAAAAUGAAAUAGUUAUGGUGAUAACUAGAUCAUAGCCUCCCAUUAAGUUGGAUGAUAAUGAGUCCAAUAGUUUAGAUGAUCAUUGGAGAUGCCACACAUUUGGUGCUCAUCUGACUAUAGAAAUUAUCAUUCAUAAUAUGUUGAUUUAGUUGUCUUUCUGAUGAUGGUUAGGUUGGCUGAGCC
This 316-nucleotide long non-coding RNA is filed under the name Elaeis guineensis (African oil palm). RNAcentral's name for it is "long non-coding RNA (EGUI_LNC055091)". The record is from RNAcentral. Lineage: Eukaryota; Viridiplantae; Streptophyta; Magnoliopsida; Arecales; Arecaceae.